Molecule: ribosomal RNA, 505 nt
Filed under: uncultured bacterium
Lineage: Bacteria
Description: partial 16S ribosomal RNA
Rfam family: Bacterial small subunit ribosomal RNA
Source: RNAcentral
AGUGAACGCUGGCGGUAGGCCUAACACAUGCAAGUCGAACGGCAGCACAGGAGAGCUUGCUCUCUGGGUGGCGAGUGGCGGACGGGUGAGGAAUACAUCGGAAUCUACUCUGUCGUGGGGGAUAACGUAGGGAAACUUACGCUAAUACCGCAUACGACCUACGGGUGAAAGCAGGGGACCUUCGGGCCUUGCGCGAUUGAAUGAGCCGAUGUCGGAUUAGCGAGUUGGCGGGGUAAAGGCCCACCAAGCGACGAUCCGUAGCUGGUCUGGGAGGAUGAUCAGCCACACUGGAACUGAGACACGGUCCAGACUCCUACGGGAGGCAGCAGUGGGGAAUAUUGGACAAUGGGCGCAAGCCUGAUCCAGCCAUACCGCGUGGGUGAAGAAGGCCUUCGGGUUGUAAAGCCCUUUUGUUGGGAAAGAAAUCCAGCUGGCUAAUACCCGGUUGGGAUGACGGUACCCAAAGAAUAAGCACCGGCUAACUUCGUGCCAGCCGCCGCAGUAA